This 459-nucleotide ribosomal RNA is filed under the name uncultured bacterium. Its description in RNAcentral is "partial 16S ribosomal RNA". It matches the Rfam family "Bacterial small subunit ribosomal RNA", at positions 338 to 795 of the family's 1533-position model. The record is from RNAcentral.
CCUACGGGUGGCAGCAGUGAGGAAUAUUGGUCAAUGGCCGAGAGGCUGAACCAGCCAAGUCGCGUGAGGGAAGACGGCCCUACGGGUUGUAAACCUCUUUUGUCGGGGAGCAAAGAGAGUCACGUGUGACUCAUUGAGAGUACCCGAAGAAAAAGCAUCGGCUAACUCCGUGCCAGCAGCCGCGGUAAUACGGAGGAUGCGAGCGUUAUCCGGAUUUAUUGGGUUUAAGGGGUGCGCAGGCGUAGGUGCAAGUCAGCGGUCAAAUUGCGGGGCUCAACCCCGUACUGCCGUUGAAACUGCAUCCCUUGAGUGCGCGAGAAGUAUGCGGAAUGCGUGGUGUAGCGGUGAAAUGCAUAGAUAGCACGAGGAACCCCGAUUGCGAAGGCAGCCUGCCGGGGUGCGACUGACGCUGAGGCUCGAAGGUGCGGGUAUCAAACAGGAUUAGAUACCCCUGUAGUC